RNAcentral lists this ribosomal RNA (404 nucleotides) under uncultured bacterium. RNAcentral's name for it is "bacterial SSU rRNA". It matches the Rfam family "Bacterial small subunit ribosomal RNA", at positions 28 to 416 of the family's 1533-position model. The record is from RNAcentral.
AGCGAACGCUGGCGGCGUACUUAACACAUGCAAGUCGAACGGGGAUCGUCGGGUUAGCAAUAAUUCGGCGGUCCUAGUGGCGCACGGGUGAGUAACACGUGGGUAACCUGCCCUUGAGUUCGGGAUACCCCCUCGAAAGGGGGGCUAAUACCGGAUACGUUCCUUGGAUCGACAGGUCUGAGGAGGAAAGGUGGCGCAAGCUGCCGCUCUUGGAGGGGCUCGCGGCCUAUCAGCUAGUUGGCGGGGUAACGGCCCACCAAGGCUAUGACGGGUAGCUGGUCUGAGAGGACGACCAGUCACACGGGGACUGAGACACGGCCCCGACUCCUACGGGAGGCAGCAGUGGGGAAUUUCCGCAAUGGGCGAAAGCCUGACGGAGCGACGCCGCGUGAGGGAUGACGCCU